CCUACGGGAGGCAGCAGUAGGGAAUCUUCCACAAUGGACGAAAGUCUGAUGGAGCAACGCCGCGUGAGUGAAGAAGGGUUUCGGCUCGUAAAGCUCUGUUGGUAGUGAAGAAAGAUAGAGGUAGUAACUGGCCUUUAUUUGACGGUAAUUACUUAGAAAGUCACGGCUAACUACGUGCCAGCAGCCGCGGUAAUACGUAGGUGGCAAGCGUUGACCGGAUUGAUUGGGCGUAAAGCGAGUGCAGUCGGUUCAAUAAGUCAGAUGUGAAAGCCUUCGGCUCAACCGGAGAAUUGCAUCAGAAACUGUUGAACUUGAGUGCAGAAGAGGAGAGUGGAACUCCAUGUGUAGCGGUAGAAUGCGUAGAUAUAGGGAAGAACACCAGUGGCGAAGGCCGCUCUCUGGUCUGCAACUGACGCUGAGGCUCGAAAGCAUGGGUAGCGAACAGGAUUAGAUACCCUUGUAGUC
Molecule: ribosomal RNA, 465 nt
Filed under: uncultured bacterium
Lineage: Bacteria
Description: partial 16S ribosomal RNA
Rfam family: Bacterial small subunit ribosomal RNA
Source: RNAcentral